This 74-nucleotide transfer RNA is filed under the name Spirochaetales bacterium. RNAcentral describes it as "tRNA-Thr". It matches the Rfam family "tRNA". Rfam says of the family: Transfer RNA (tRNA) molecules are approximately 80 nucleotides in length. Their secondary structure includes four short double-helical elements and three loops (D, anti-codon, and T loops). Lineage: Bacteria; Pseudomonadati; Spirochaetota; Spirochaetia; Spirochaetales. The record is from RNAcentral. RNAcentral also lists the same sequence under 1 other name.
GCCACCUUAGCUCAGCUGGCCAGAGCACGUGACUUGUAAUCUCGGGGUCGUCAGUUCGAAUCCGACAGGUGGCU